GGGUGAGUAACACGUGGAUAACCUACCUAUAAGACUGGGAUAACUUCGGGAAACCGGAGCUAAUACCGGAUAAUAUUUUGAACCGCAUGGUUCAAAAGUGAAAGACGGUCUUGCUGUCACUUAUAGAUGGAUCCGCGCUGCAUUAGCUAGUUGGUAAGGUAACGGCUUACCAAUGCAACGAUGCAUAGCCGACCUGAGAGGGUGAUCGGCCACACUGGAACUGAGACACGGUCCAG
RNAcentral lists this ribosomal RNA (236 nucleotides) under uncultured Staphylococcus sp. RNAcentral describes it as "partial 16S ribosomal RNA". It matches the Rfam family "Bacterial small subunit ribosomal RNA", at positions 104 to 334 of the family's 1533-position model. The record is from RNAcentral. Lineage: Bacteria; Bacillati; Bacillota; Bacilli; Caryophanales; Staphylococcaceae.